AUGAAGUUGAAUGCUUCGCCAGGGCCGGAUGGCUUCAAUGUUGAGUUUUAUCUAGCUGUAUGGGAUUGGAUAGGAGAUGAGGUCACCCAGUUGGUGGUUAAUUUUUAUAAAUCGGGUAUAUUGCCACCUCAUAUUAGUGACACUAACAUUGCUCUCAUUCCAAAAAAACUGGUUCCCCAGGUUCCUAUGGAUUAUCGUCCCAUUAGCCUUUGUAAUGUCAUAUACAAAAUCAUUGCCAAAUCCUUAGCUAAUCGCCUCAAGCCUCUUCUCCCUAAUUUUAUUGACCAUGCUCAACAGGCUUUUAUUGAGGGUAGAAGGAUUAGUGAUAAUAUUAUUAUU
Molecule: ribosomal RNA, 339 nt
Filed under: Triticum aestivum (bread wheat)
Lineage: Eukaryota; Viridiplantae; Streptophyta; Magnoliopsida; Poales; Poaceae
Description: partial small subunit ribosomal RNA
Source: RNAcentral